UAUGUAAAUUUUUUUGUUGUUCUUUUGUUCCUUUUCCAACCUUUGCGUGAUUUUUGUUCUUACAAAGCAAAAAGAAGCCAUGACUCCCGACGCUGAUGCUGAGGCCAUGAGAAGAGCAACCGAGGACU
This 128-nucleotide non-coding RNA is filed under the name Aplanochytrium sp. PBS07. Lineage: Eukaryota; Bigyra; Thraustochytrida; Thraustochytriidae. The record is from RNAcentral.